This 465-nucleotide ribosomal RNA is filed under the name uncultured Comamonadaceae bacterium. Its description in RNAcentral is "bacterial SSU rRNA". It matches the Rfam family "Bacterial small subunit ribosomal RNA", at positions 338 to 795 of the family's 1533-position model. Lineage: Bacteria; Pseudomonadati; Pseudomonadota; Betaproteobacteria; Burkholderiales; Comamonadaceae. The record is from RNAcentral.
CCUACGGGGGGCAGCAGUGGGGAAUUUUGGACAAUGGGCGCAAGCCUGAUCCAGCCAUGCCGCGUGCGGGAAGAAGGCCUUCGGGUUGUAAACCGCUUUUGUCAGGGAAGAAACGCCUUAGGAUAAUACCUUGAGGUAAUGACGGUACCUGAAGAAUAAGCACCGGCUAACUACGUGCCAGCAGCCGCGGUAAUACGUAGGGUGCAAGCGUUAAUCGGAAUUACUGGGCGUAAAGCGUGCGCAGGCGGUUGUACAAGACAGAUGUGAAAUCCCCGGGCUUAACCUGGGAACUGCAUUUGUGACUGUACGGCUAGAGUGCGGCAGAGGGGGAUGGAAUUCCGCGUGUAGCAGUGAAAUGCGUAGAUAUGCGGAGGAACACCGAUGGCGAAGGCAAUCCCCUGGGCCUGCACUGACGCUCAUGCACGAAAGCGUGGGGAGCAAACAGGAUUAGAUACCCCGGUAGUC